Molecule: RNA transcript, 699 nt
Organism: Dreissena polymorpha
Lineage: Eukaryota; Metazoa; Mollusca; Bivalvia; Myida; Dreissenidae
Exons: 3
Source: RefSeq, a predicted model, not a curated record
GUUUUACUGGUUUUACAUCUGUACAUAACUAAACUGUAUAUAACUUGAAUUGUGUUUGACCUCCAAUCAUGAAUGCAUGGCUUGUCAGGAAUGCACUCUUUAAUCCAUUCAGCCACCUUCUUAUCAGCAACUAAUUUAUUCUCUAUUGACUGUGCCUGAAAUGUGCUGGUACAGUAGUAUUCAUUGAUGCCUUUUGAAAUGGUAAUGUGAUUGUGUAAUAGGCUUGCAGCUUAAAUGCCCAGUCCCUAGAAAUAGGCCUCAGCUGGGAAAUUGUUAUGGCACACAGUUUAUCGAUGAGGCAUGCCUAAAAAAUUUAAAGGGGAGAACUCAAAAGCUGCAGAGGCAAAAGAAAGGAAAUCUGCACAGAAAGCAGAUGAGGCAGCUAGGAAACAGGCAGCAGAAGAAGACGCCUUCUGGGCAGAUGAUGAUAAGCAUAUUGUCAAAAAACAACAAAGGAAGGAUCAGCUGAGGAUAUUACACAAUGGCCUUUGUUCCCUGGACCAUUCUGUGAACAGCAGAACAUCACCAAUUGUGAUCUGCAGAAUGAGACAAUUAGCAAAUUUAACCAUGAUUUUGCACUAUCAAAAGGACUUGGACUACAUUGAAUGUUAAGUUUUUUUAUAUUAGUGAUGUUUUGUUGUAUUUUGUGAUGUCUUUAUUUGAGAAAAAAAGUCGAAAAUAAAAAUAUAUUUUUUGUGA